CACGUAGUUAGCCGGUGCUUAUUCUUCAGGUACCGUCAUUAGCCGAAGGUAUUAACCUCAGCCGUUUCUUCCCUGACAAAAGAGCUUUACAACCCGAAGGCCUUCUUCACUCACGCGGCAUUGCUGGAUCAGGCUUGCGCCCAUUGCCCAAAAUUCCCCACUGCUGCCUCCCGUAGGAGUCUGGACCGUGUCUCAGUUCCAGUGUGGCUGGUCGUCCUCUCAGACCAGCUACUGAUCGUCGCCUUGGUGAGCCUUUACCCCACCAACUAGCUAAUCAGACAUCGGCCGCUCCAAAAGCCAUGACGGCCCGAAGGUCCCCACUUUCUCCGUAGAACGUAUGCGGUAUUAGCGCAACUUUCGCUGCGUUAUCCCCCUAUUCUGGGUACUUCCGAUGUACUUACUCACCGUUCGCCACUCGCCACCGAGGUCCGAACGCCCCGUGCCUACGUCCGUUCCGUACUUCGCCA
This 467-nucleotide ribosomal RNA is filed under the name uncultured Massilia sp. RNAcentral describes it as "partial 16S ribosomal RNA". Lineage: Bacteria; Pseudomonadati; Pseudomonadota; Betaproteobacteria; Burkholderiales; Oxalobacteraceae. The record is from RNAcentral.